RNAcentral lists this ribosomal RNA (253 nucleotides) under uncultured bacterium. RNAcentral's name for it is "partial 16S ribosomal RNA". It matches the Rfam family "Bacterial small subunit ribosomal RNA", at positions 524 to 776 of the family's 1533-position model. The record is from RNAcentral.
UACGUAGGGGGCAAGCGUUAUCCGGAUUUACUGGGUGUAAAGGGAGUGUAGGUGGCCAGAUAAGUCAGAUGUGAAAGCCCAGGGCUCAACCCUGGGACUGCAUUUGAAACUAUCCGGCUAGAGUGCAGGAGAGGUAAGUGGAAUUCCUAGUGUAGCGGUGAAAUGCGUAGAUAUUAGGAGGAACACCAGUGGCGAAGGCGGCUUACUGGACUGUAACUGACACUGAGGCUCGAAAGCGUGGGGAGCAAACAGG